Long non-coding RNA from Canis lupus familiaris (dog), 462 nucleotides. RefSeq lists it as uncharacterized. The record is from RefSeq and is a predicted model, not a curated record. Lineage: Eukaryota; Metazoa; Chordata; Mammalia; Carnivora; Canidae. The transcript is spliced from 3 exons.
GACAGACUGAAAACUAUGUGAUUAAAAAUGUGUGGAGAAGUUCUGAGGUAGAAGUACAGGGAGCCACGGGGGAAACACAGCAGGGUCAUCUGAGCCCGUCAGGGAGCCAGGCAACACUUCCUACGAGCUGAAAUGAUGCUAUGAUACUGCCUUGUUGUCGUUGAAUCAGACUCAAGAGCCAGGAAAGCCCAAUAUUUGUGAACAUCCCCUUAAGUGGAAACACUCAUAUGGAGAAUGCAUAAAAUCCUUCUGAAUGGUGCACAAAUGAGUCAUAGUAUUGCUACAUAAAGGGAUACCACAAAGCAAGAACAAUGAUCAAUCUACAACUAGAUGAGUCUCACAAUGACGAAUAUCUCACAAUGUGAUGUGCCAACACUGAGGAAGAGUGUACAUACUGAUGAUUGCUUCAUAUAAAGUUCUCAAGCUGACAAAUCUAACAGAUAUCACUGGGAGUGUUGGUAA